This 253-nucleotide ribosomal RNA is filed under the name uncultured bacterium. RNAcentral describes it as "partial 16S ribosomal RNA". It matches the Rfam family "Bacterial small subunit ribosomal RNA", at positions 524 to 776 of the family's 1533-position model. The record is from RNAcentral.
UACGUAGGGGACUAGCGUUGUUCGGAAUCACUGGGCGUAAAGCGCACGUAGGCGGCUUUGCAAGUUAGAGGUGAAAUCCCGGAGCUCAACUCCGGAACUGCCUUUGAUACUGGCGACCUUGAGGCUGGAAGAGGUUAGUGGAAUUCCCAGUGUAGAGGUGAAAUUCGUAGAUAUUGGGAAGAACACCAGUGGCGAAGGCGGCUAACUGGUCCAGAUCUGACGCUGAGGUGCGAAAGCGUGGGGAGCAAACAGG